Molecule: non-coding RNA, 60 nt
Filed under: unclassified sequences
Source: RNAcentral
GUAGUAUCGGACAAAUCGGAUUGUUAUCCGAUCGGGUAUUGUAUACCCCAAUCAAUUAGU